Molecule: ribosomal RNA, 464 nt
Filed under: uncultured bacterium
Lineage: Bacteria
Description: partial 16S ribosomal RNA
Rfam family: Bacterial small subunit ribosomal RNA
Source: RNAcentral
AGCGAACGCUGGCGGCAUGCCUAACACAUGCAAGUCGCACGGGUCGGCUUCGGCCGGGCAGUGGCGGACGGGUGAGGAACGCGUAGGGAUCUGUCCUCUGGGGGGGGAUAACCGCGGGAAACUGCGGCUAAGACCGCAGGGGGCGCCGGUGUGAGAGCCGGUGUCAAAGGCGCGCAUCGCGAGGUGUGUGUCGCCGGGGGGGGAGCCUGCGUCCGAUUAGGUGGUUGGCGGGGUAGUGGGCCACCAAGACGUCGAACGGUAGCUGGUCGGAGAGGGUCAGCAGCCCCACUGGGACGGCGCCACGGCCCAGCCUCCUACGGGAGGCAGCAGUGGGGAAUAUUGGACAAGGGGCGGAAGCCUGAUCCAGCACUGCCUCGUGGGUGAAGAAGGUCUUCGGGUUGUAAACCCCUUUCGGCGGGACGAUGGUGACGGUACCCGCAGAAGAAGCCCCGGCUAACUUCGUG